ACCGCGUGAGGGAGGAAGGCUCUUGGGUCGUAAACCUCUUUUCUCUGGGAAGAAUUAACUGACGGUACCAGAGGAAUCAGCAUCGGCUAACUCCGUGCCAGCAGCCGCGGUAAUACGGGGGAUGCAAGCGUUAUCCGGAAUUAUUGGGCGUAAAGCGUCCGCAGGUGGCUAAUCAAGUCUGUUGUCAAAGCGCGGAGCUCAACUCCGUACAGGCGAUGGAAACUGGUUGGCUAGAGUUAGGUAGGGGUAAGAGGAAUUCCCAGUGUAGCGGUGAAAUGCGUAGAUAUUGGGAAGAACACCGGCGGCGAAAGCGUCUUACUGGGCCUAAACUGACA
This 335-nucleotide ribosomal RNA is filed under the name Aphanothece sacrum. RNAcentral describes it as "bacterial SSU rRNA". It matches the Rfam family "Bacterial small subunit ribosomal RNA", at positions 396 to 745 of the family's 1533-position model. Lineage: Bacteria; Bacillati; Cyanobacteriota; Cyanophyceae; Chroococcales; Aphanothecaceae. The record is from RNAcentral.